RNAcentral lists this ribosomal RNA (253 nucleotides) under uncultured bacterium. RNAcentral's name for it is "partial 16S ribosomal RNA". It matches the Rfam family "Bacterial small subunit ribosomal RNA", at positions 524 to 776 of the family's 1533-position model. The record is from RNAcentral.
CACGUAGGGUGCGAGCGUUGUCCGGAAUUAUUGGGCUUAAAGGGUGCGUAGGCUGUGCAGUAAGUUGGGUGUGAAAUCCCUCGGCUCAACCGAGGAACUGCGCCGAAUACUGCUGUGCUAGAGGGAGAUAGGGGUAAGCGGAACUGAUGGUGGAGCGGUGAAAUGCGUUGAUAUCAUCAGGAACACCGGUGGCGAAGGCGGCUUACUGGAUCUCUUCUGACGCUGAUGCACGAAAGCUAGGGGAGCGAACGGG